UCCCCAGUGGCGCAACUGGUUAGCGCGCCGUACUUAUAAUGCGGAGGUUGUGAGUUCGAUCCUCACCUGGGGAA
RNAcentral lists this transfer RNA (74 nucleotides) under Stegodyphus dumicola. RNAcentral describes it as "tRNA-Ile". It matches the Rfam family "tRNA". Rfam says of the family: Transfer RNA (tRNA) molecules are approximately 80 nucleotides in length. Their secondary structure includes four short double-helical elements and three loops (D, anti-codon, and T loops). Lineage: Eukaryota; Metazoa; Arthropoda; Arachnida; Araneae; Eresidae. The record is from RNAcentral.